RNAcentral lists this ribosomal RNA (1665 nucleotides) under Bacidia rubella. RNAcentral's name for it is "LSU rRNA". It matches the Rfam family "Eukaryotic large subunit ribosomal RNA", at positions 44 to 1292 of the family's 3401-position model. The record is from RNAcentral. Lineage: Eukaryota; Fungi; Ascomycota; Lecanoromycetes; Lecanorales; Ramalinaceae.
CAAUAAGCGGAGGAAAAGAAACCAACAGGGAUUGCCUCAGUAACGGCGAGUGAAGCGGCAACAGCUCAAAUUUGUAAUCUGGCUCCUUCGGGGUCCGAGUUGUAAUUUGUAGAGGAUGUUUCGGGUGCGGCGCCGGUCGAAGUCCCUUGGAACAGGGUGUCACAGAGGGUGAGAAUCCCGUACGUGGCCGGCAACCAAGCCCAUGUGAAACUCCUUCGACGAGUCGAGUUGUUUGGGAAUGCAGCUCAAAAUGGGUGGUAAAUUUCAUCUAAAGCUAAAUACCGGCCAGAGACCGAUAGCGCACAAGUAGAGUGAUCGAAAGAUGAAAAGCACUUUGGAAAGAGAGUUAAAAAGUACGUGAAAUUGUUGAAAGGGAAGCGCUUGCGACCAGACCUGCCCGUGGGUGCUCAGCGGUGGUUCUCCGCCGUGCACUCGCCCACGAUCAGGCCAGCAUCAGUUCUGGCGACCGGAUAAAGGCCCGAGGAAUGUGGCUCCUCUCGGGGAGUGUUAUAGCCUCGGGUGUCAUACGGCCAGCCGGGACUGAGGACCGCGCUUCGGCAAGGAUGCUGGCAUAAUGGUCGUAAGCGACCCGUCUUGAAACACGGACCAAGGAGUCUAACAUCUAUGCAAGUGUUUGGGUGUCAAACCCAUGCGCGCAAUGAAAGUGAACGAUGGUCAGAGCCCUCUGGGUGCAUGAUCGACCGAUCUUGAAGUUUACGGAUGGAUUUGAGUAUGAGCAUAGCUGUUGGGACCCGAAAGAUGGUGAACUAUGCCUGAAUAGGGUGAAGCCAGAGGAAACUCUGGUGGAGGCUCGCAGCGGUUCUGACGUGCAAAUCGAUCGUCAAAUUUGGGUAUAGGGGCGAAAGACUAAUCGAACCAUUGAAAACAAGCUACACUAGGUGGUUAAUUGGGGUCCGCGGACCGUCAGCCUUUCGAGGCGACGACUGCUAAAUGCAUGGUGUUGAUUCAACAUGCAGCGGGCGCUUUGUCGCCCGCAACUACACUGACCAAACAGCAUCGGCCGCGUGGGCAUUGCGCCCCCGGUUUUGCACACAUGGCCGAGUCCCUCCUGGCGGAGGGUAUGAACGCUAGUAGCUGGUUCCUGCCGAAGUUUCCCUCAGGAUAGCAGUAACGUAUUCAGUUUUAUGAGGUAAAGCGAAUGAUUAGGAGCCUAGGGGAUGUAACAUCCUUUACUCAUUCUCAAACUUUAAAUAUGUAAGAAGUCCUUGUUACUUAAUUGAACGUGGACAUUCGAAUGUACCGUUACUAGUGGGCCAUUUUUGGUAAGCAGAACUGGCGAUGCGGGAUGAACCGAACGUGGGGUUAAGGUGCCGGAAUGCACGCUCAUCAGACACCAAGGAAAUCUUUUGUGGUGUCGGCGUGCCCCCGAGAGCUCCGUCUCCACCGGGGGAGGAGUCCUCACGUCAGAGGGCCAGGCUUUCGAUCGCAUGGGGACCGUGCUUGCCACCAAGCUUACCCUCAGCCACCGCGUUGUGGCCCACAGAUCCACAAGCGAAGGCCGGCAGCUGCUACUGUAGUUGCUUGAGAUAUGAUCGGCCUCCCCGGACGUAAGUCCUCGGAAAUCAAGUGCAAAAGGUGUUGAUUCAUCUAGACAGCCGGACGGUGGCCAUGGAAGUCGGAAUCCGCUAAGGAGUGUGUAACCCA